RNAcentral lists this ribosomal RNA (1302 nucleotides) under metagenome. RNAcentral's name for it is "bacterial LSU rRNA". It matches the Rfam family "Bacterial large subunit ribosomal RNA", at positions 1635 to 2925 of the family's 2925-position model. The record is from RNAcentral.
UACACGACCGUACCGCAAACCGACACUGGUGCGCGAGAUGAGUAUUCUAAGGCGCUUGAGAGAACUCAGGAGAAGGAACUCGGCAAAUUGACACCGUAACUUCGGAAGAAGGUGUGCCUUUAGUAGGUGAAGUCCCUCGCGGAUGGAGCCCAAUGAGGUUGCAAAAAAUCGGUGGCUGCGACUGUUUAUUAAAAACACAGCACUCUGCAAACACGAAAGUGGACGUAUAGGGUGUGACGCCUGCCCGGUGCUGGAAGAUUAAAUGAUGGGGUGCAAGCUCUUGAUUGAAGUCCCAGUAAACGGCGGCCGUAACAAUAACGGUCCUAAGGUAGCGAAAUUCCUUGUCGGGUAAGUUCCGACCUGCACGAAUGGCGUAACGAUGGCCACACUGUCUCCUCCUGAGACUCAGCGAAGUUGAAAUGUUUGUGAUGAUGCAAUCUCCCCGCGGAAAGACGGAAAGACCCCAUGAACCUUUACUGUAGCUUUGUAUUGGACUUUGAACAGAUCUGUGUAGGAUAGGUGGGAGGCUUUGAAGCAGGGUCGCUAGAUCUUGUGGAGCCAACGUUGAAAUACCACCCUGGUGUGUUUGAGGUUCUAACCUAGGUCCAUUAUCUGGAUCGGGGACAGUGCAUGGUAGGCAGUUUGACUGGGGCGGUCUCCUCCCAAAGCGUAACGGAGGAGUUCGAAGGUACGCUAGUUACGGUCGGACAUCGUGACGAUAGUGCAAUGGCAUAAGCGUGCUUAACUGCGAGACUGACAAGUCGAGCAGAUGCGAAAGCAGGACAUAGUGAUCCGGUGGUUCUGUAUGGAAGGGCCAUCGCUCAACGGAUAAAAGGUACUCUGGGGAUAACAGGCUGAUACCGCCCAAGAGUUCAUAUCGACGGCGGUGUUUGGCACCUCGAUGUCGGCUCAUCUCAUCCUGGGGCUGUAGCCGGUCCCAAGGGUAUGGCUGUUCGCCAUUUAAAGAGGUACGUGAGCUGGGUUUAAAACGUCGUGAGACAGUUUGGUCCCUAUCUUCCGUGGGCGCUGCAGAUUUGAGGAAGCCUGCUCCUAGUACGAGAGGACCGGAGUGGACACACCUCUGGUGUAUCGGUUGUCACGCCAGUGGCAUUGCCGAGUAGCUAAGUGUGGAAGAGAUAACCGCUGAAAGCAUCUAAGCGGGAAACUCGUUUCAAGAUGAGAUCUGCCGGGGCCUUGAGCCCCCUGAAGAGUCGUUCAAGACCAGGACGUUGAUAGGCAGGGUGUGGAAGCGCAGUAAUGCGUUAAGCUAACCUGUACUAAUUGCUCGUGCGACUUGACCCU